Equus caballus (horse) is the source of this 2465-nucleotide long non-coding RNA. The record is from Ensembl. NCBI's taxonomy places the organism in Eukaryota, Metazoa, Chordata, Mammalia, Perissodactyla, Equidae.
CAGGCGUCUAGGCAGCCGUCCACAGAGAUGCGGGUCCUCCGCGGAGCCUAGAGAGGACGCGGAAGUGGGCUGGGGGCGGGGUCCGAGGCCCCUGCAGACUCCGCGUCCGCCGGCUGGGUGCGGCCCCGCGGCUGCCAGAGAGUCGGUCGGAAGCGAGCGCUGGAGGGGCGAUGCCGUGCACUUUGCCCCUCUGUCCUUCCGUUUCCCUCGCCGAGCCAUGCCCCUGGCGGCCGAGGAGAGUGGGCGCGGGUCCCGAAUCCCCCGGCGGGGUCGACGCCGCUGUGCAUCGCCGGGUGCCCGGGGUCGUUGGGGCCCCGCCACCCUCGGUCCCCGCGCCCUCCUCUUCUCAGGCCGUCCGUCCCGCGCUGCUCAAGUUUCCAGCCCUGCUCCUCUUGUAGGAGCAGGGGUGGGAUGACCCCGGGCCAGAGUGGACAAACCUCCUGUUCCUGGAGCCGGUGCCCUGUGAGGAUGCGGACGUGGGCUUCAGAUAAGAGUGGAGGCGCCUGUCCGCCCUGGGAAAGCUCUGCGCGGACGUGAUGCCGAAGAUUUCUGGAAACGUCGUCGCACUGAGUAAGGCCUUUCCUGGGACCCACAGUCGGUCUGACUGGAAGGCUUAACUGCGGCUUCUUACUGGGGCCCUCCUCCGCAUUCCCCCUCUCGUGUGUCGUGGAACGUGUCAGGGACUGGAGAGCUUCCAGAAUGUGUCCGAAUACACCUCUGAGCUCAAGUUUCUUCUGUUUUUUGUUUGUUUUUGUUUUCUUAGUAUUACUUUAUUUCUUCUUUAUAUUACUUAUUUGUGUGUCACACAAAAGGCUUGGAAUUUCGCUGUGUCCCUUUUUGGUAUGGUGAGAGUGUUGCUGAAUCCAGGUUUACAGUCCCUGAUCCCCCCUAUAUUGACAGGGAGAGCCUGGAGGUGCUACUGGGCCUUGAGGCAAGGUAUUUCCACUUCUAGACUCAUGUCUUCCGAUUCUUACCUGUGAAAAGCGGGCAGUUUUCUAAGUGUUCUCAAUGACUGCCUUUCUCAUACCUGGAGUUCCCCACAGCAGGAUCCCAGGCCUGGGAUGGACUGACUGGUAGGUUUCUAGGGUAGCUGCCCUCUGCCACUGCCUUUCAGGGCAUCCCAGACACACAAAAAGGGCCACGUUGCUUUCCAGGCCUGAGAAUAUAUUCUGACCCCAGAAAGAGCAUAUUUCUCCAACUUCCCCAAAUAUAUGAAAUGAGUCUUUAGCUCCUUUUGUCCCUGUAAUUCUGUAUCAACGAUUUAGUGAGAUUCGGUUCAGGGGGAUAUUAAGGUGGAAGCCUCUCACCUAGAGUUUGCCAGCCCCUCAUACUUUGUAGUUAGAAAAGGAGUCCCCACCUCAAGUGUUGGAGAAAGUGUGUAAGAAUGGGAUGGAGCUGAACUCCACCCUUGAUAUGAGAGUGUGAUAGAAAAAAGAUCCCCAGAAUAUCAUCUAAAAAGGAAAACCGGAACUAUGGACCAGGCUUUAACUGCCCGUUGCCUGUAUUUGUUUAGUGAUCAGCAGGAAAAUCUUUAUCUGCGAAGCUUUUUUAGGUUAGAGUGGACAGCACGAAGGCAGAAAACUGGGAGGUCUACAGCUAGUCAUGGGGAGAAAGGAAAGAAGGAAGCGGAUGGAGUAUCUAGAACCAGAGGGAAGGAGCCAAGGGUGGAGCAGGAGGAGAGUUAGCCUGCCUGGGGCCAUGAGAUUAGCGGGCUCACCAGCGGAGAGGUGCCCUGAUACUCUGAUUCCUUAACAUGCUGACCCUUUUCCUUGUCCACUAGUAGGCUUUUCAGUUUAUAAACCUGAGGCGAUGAGCCUUUUGGGAAGGGAGGAGGCCUCGUGUGUCCGUGCUGGACAAAAAACCACAGCCAGACGGUGGGUGCAGGAAUGCCUUUGGGGCCCCUGUCCUGCUCUGCCUUCGACUCAUACUGAUUAUAAACAGAGACUGGGCCUUUGGAUCUGGAACCCCCAAACUCUCAGAACCCUCCUGUUCAAAUAAGCACCACGCUGAAGCCGGUGGCCCGUAUGCUGACAUUGGAUGAGAAAAGGUGUCUGGGUGAUGGCAAUGAGACCUCCAACCCUCCCUCCUCACCUCUGUCCUCUUAGUGAAAUCGUAGGGACUUCUCACCCAGGGGAAUAGGAAGAGGACCUGAGAGAUGUCUCGACAGGAAGAGCUGUUUGCCCCUUGAGGACGAGACCCUCCCUGGCUGGGGAGGGCCGAGAGCCCCUGCCUGCUCCAUGCUCUCCUGGCUGCUGAGGGCCGGGGCCCUGGCCCUGGCACAGGAUUGAUGCCCUCCUUGCCAUCCAGACAGUUGGGGCACACUCUCCCUGGUUUCCUAAAGGCAGAAGAAUAACUUCAACUACCAGACAUUUAAACAGUUGGAGCUUUAUUACAGACAAGGUUAACUUAAACAUAUACACUGUCAAAUUCUGUUUAAAGACUAAAUCCAAUAAAGUCAUUGUUUC